AUGGACCCAAAUGCAGACCAAGGACACUUGAACAGCCAGAAAGAGAAAUGCAAGAAAGUUAGAGGAGUUGUGUUACUCUCCACCUGCUCUAACAAAUGCGCCUCAGGUGUCUGGCGCCUCCGAGCCUUCUCACUGGGGACCGCCCUAUCCACACACCGGAGCGCGCCCGGGCUGUCCCCAGGACUCCGCAGGAGAGACAGCCUUCGCUGCCUGCUCGCCUUUGAAUCCUUUAUCACUCUGCCUGUCUCGGACCGCACUGCUUUAUGGAAAUGCGCUGCUGGCAGAUAAUCUGUGUGGCUGCAGAUGGUGGUGCGGUUACCGUGAGUGGGAAGGGAAAGAGGGCGAGGCAGCUGCCAGGGGACGGGAGAAACAGCAGGAGCGCCCCAAGCCCCAGCCUCCAGUUCGGCUCCUCAUCUUCAGCAUGACCCUGAAUUGCUUCACCGGGCCUCAGCACAAAAGGGAAAGGAUUUUUGCUAAAAUAAAAAAAAAAAAAAAAAAAAAAGCCCCGAAGUGUUCCUUUAGGAUUAGAUAUUUUUAACAUGUUCCCUCUUCCUCCUCUGUCCCUCUAAAUAUUUUGGGGUUUUUUUUCUUUCUGCUCACUGACUCUGAUUUACCUUCUGCAGUUCUGUACACUACUAAAUUUCACUAAAAUUUAAGACAAUAGAAGUCUCUCACCCAAGGUCCUUGUCAUGGAGCUGAUGGGAGAAGAAAAUAAUCUUUUGUGAGGAAGAAAGCUAAAGGAGAACCAGAAAAGCACACCCCAAGUAGGAGAUAAAUUUCAGAUUUUGGGGAAAGUGGGUAAAACCCUAACCAGACAGGGCCUGGAAAUGGGGGAGGGGGAGACGAAAUAAGGAGCAGCAGCUGGGAGCAGGAAGGAGGAGCGGGAGGAGGAACGUGGAGACAGAGGUCACUGGGGUUUUGUGCAGUUUCCCGGCCAUCUCAGAUUCACUCCAAGGCAAGGAUAGAAGGAAUGAAGCAGGAUUUGCCAUAGCCAUGAAAAGGAUUUUGGAUUUUAUUGUAGGAAUCGCUGAAAUAGAUAUUGAGAGUCAAGGAGAAGGAGGAGUCAGGAUGUUAACUUGAGCAACCGAUGAUGCCAUUUAUGGAGGUGAAGAACUCUAGGCAAGGACCUGGGUCAAGAAUCUAAAGAACUUCACGGUGCU
RNAcentral lists this long non-coding RNA (1160 nucleotides) under Fukomys damarensis (Damara mole-rat). RNAcentral's name for it is "lncRNA (ENSFDAG00000031938.1)". The record is from RNAcentral. Lineage: Eukaryota; Metazoa; Chordata; Mammalia; Rodentia; Bathyergidae.